UUUGAGAAAUGGUCUUAUGAAUUGCCUUCAACAUCUCUGGCCUUUUUUUUUCUUUGUAAUUCACUAGUGAUAAAGCUUCAUUGUAUGAAAAUGACUUGACUUCUGCAAACAUCCAACCUUCAGUUGAAAUUGUCUGAUAAGUUUGGAUAGAAGGAGGCUCAAGGGUAGUAGAAGAAGAAAGGAAACUGGAAAGUCACAGGAAGACUGGUUCGGGGCUCACCAUUCUCUCUAGAAAGAAUAGCACACAGAGCUCACAGGGGUGCACGACGGUAUGAAAAACUGGCUUCUCACUCUACCAGGCUGAACUCCAUUUAAAAUCAGGAGCCAUGACCAGCAUCAUCAAUGAAAUGUGUGUCUGUGGAGGUCUGGCUGACUAUUCUGAAAAACCACCACCCAAAUGAAUCUCAUUUUAAUGGAGACCCUGCAUCAAGUUACGUAAUGGCCUGUCCAUCACCGACUGGAUCUCUCACAUUUUCUCAGAUGUUGAGUUGUGAUGCCAUAAACCAAAUCUCAUGUGGAAUAUUUCAUGCAAUGUUCAGGAUGUCUGCUUUCUUAUCCUUUUGAUUUCCUUGAAUAAUUACUUAGUUAAAAAUACAUAUAUCACAUUUU
Molecule: long non-coding RNA, 609 nt
Filed under: Sus scrofa (pig)
Lineage: Eukaryota; Metazoa; Chordata; Mammalia; Artiodactyla; Suidae
Description: lncRNA (ENSSSCG00015002201.1)
Source: RNAcentral